Molecule: ribosomal RNA, 446 nt
Filed under: uncultured soil bacterium
Lineage: Bacteria
Description: bacterial SSU rRNA
Rfam family: Bacterial small subunit ribosomal RNA
Source: RNAcentral
AGAGCGAACGCUGGCGGCAGGCCUAACACAUGCAAGUCGAGCGCCCCGCAAGGGGAGCGGCGGACGGGUGAGUAACACGUGGGAACGUGCCCUUCGGUUCGGGAUAACUCAGGGAAACUUGAGCUAACACCGGAUACGCCCUUCGGGGGAAAGGUUACGCCGAAGGAUCGGCCCGCGUCUGAUUAGCUUGUUGGUGGGGUAAUGGCUCACCAAGGCUACGAUCAGUAGCUGGUCUGAGAGGAUGAUCAGCCACACUGGGACUGAGACACGGCCCAGACUCCUACGGGAGGCAGCAGUGGGGAAUCUUGCGCAAAUGGGCGAAAGCCUGACGCAGCCAUGCCGCGUGAAUGAUGAAGGUCUUAAGGAUUGUAAAAAUUCUUUCAGCGGGGAAGAUAAUGACGGUACCCGCAGAAGAAGCCCCGGCUAAACUUCGUGCCAGCAGCCGC